RNAcentral lists this ribosomal RNA (379 nucleotides) under uncultured bacterium. RNAcentral's name for it is "bacterial SSU rRNA". It matches the Rfam family "Bacterial small subunit ribosomal RNA", at positions 790 to 1167 of the family's 1533-position model. The record is from RNAcentral.
GUAGUCCACGCCGUAAACGAUGAGUGCUAAGUGUUAGGGGGUUUCCGCCCCUUAGUGCUGCAGCUAACGCAUUAAGCACUCCGCCUGGGGAGUACGGUCGCAAGACUGAAACUCAAAGGAAUUGACGGGGGCCCGCACAAGCGGUGGAGCAUGUGGUUUAAUUCGAAGCAACGCGAAGAACCUUACCAGGUCUUGACAUCCCGUUGACCACUGUAGAGAUAUGGUUUUCCCUUCGGGGACAACGGUGACAGGUGGUGCAUGGUUGUCGUCAGCUCGUGUCGUGAGAUGUUGGGUUAAGUCCCGCAACGAGCGCAACCCUUGAUCUUAGUUGCCAUCAUUUAGUUGGGCACUCUAAGGUGACUGCCGGUGACAAACCGGA